RNAcentral lists this ribosomal RNA (155 nucleotides) under Pleodorina starrii. Its description in RNAcentral is "large subunit ribosomal RNA". The record is from RNAcentral. Lineage: Eukaryota; Viridiplantae; Chlorophyta; Chlorophyceae; Chlamydomonadales; Volvocaceae.
CUGUUAUUGGUAGUAGAACGCACUGGGAUUAUUUUGUGUUGUUAACACAACUAGUGCUGAGACUGCUGACAUUAGUAACAAAAAAUGGAGAUCAUGGCCGUAAGUCCAAGGGUUUCGUUUUAAAGAGUGAUUCGAUCGCAGUGAAACUAAGAUCA